This 407-nucleotide ribosomal RNA is filed under the name uncultured bacterium. Its description in RNAcentral is "partial 16S ribosomal RNA". It matches the Rfam family "Bacterial small subunit ribosomal RNA", at positions 30 to 526 of the family's 1533-position model. The record is from RNAcentral.
AUUGAACGCUGGCGGCAUGCCUAACACAUGCAAGUCGAACGGAGUGGCGGACGGGUGAGUAAUAUAUCGGAACGUGCCUAGUAGCGGGGGCUAACUACGCGAAAAAGUGGCUAAUACCGCAUACGAUCAGAUCGGCCGAUAUUGGAUUAGCUAGUUGGUGGGGUAAAGGCUCACCAAGGCGACGAUCCGUAGCUGGUUUGAGAGGACGACCAGCCACACUGGGACUGAGACACGGCCCAGACUCCUACGGGAGGCAGCAGUGGGGAAUUUUGGACAAUGGGGGAAAGCCUGAUCCAGCCAUGCCGCGUGUAUGAAGAAGGCCUUCGGGUUGUAAAGUACUUUUGGCAGAGAAGCGGUAUCUGCAGAAUAAGCACCGGCUAACUACGUGCCAGCCGCCGCGGUAAUAC